UCAGCGGAGGCAGCAGAAUUUUGGACAAUGGGGGGAAAUCCCCGAUCCAGCCAUCCUGCGGUGCGAUGGUUGGCCUUCGGGUUGUAAAGCACCCUUGGCAGGGAGGUGAAAUGCGCGGAUAAUACCUCGUGCAACUGACGGUACUCUGCAGAAUAAGCACCGGCUAACUACGUGCCAGCAGCCGCGGUAAUACGUAGGGUGCAAGCGUUAAUCGGAAUUACUGGGCGCAAGGUGCGCAGGCGGUUCGGAAAGAAAGAUGUGGAAAUCCAGAGCUUAUCUUUGGAACUGCAUUUUUAACUACCGAGCUAGAGUGUACAGAGAGGGAGUGUGGAAUUCCGCGUGUAGCAGUGAAAUGCGUAGAUAUGCGGAGGAACACCGAUGGCGAAGGCAGCCUCCCCUGGGAUAACACUGACGCUCGCGCACGAAAGCGUGGGGAGCAACAGGAUUAGAUACUCCCCGUAGUCCCUGUUA
Molecule: unclassified non-coding RNA, 471 nt
Filed under: uncultured Bordetella sp.
Lineage: Bacteria; Pseudomonadati; Pseudomonadota; Betaproteobacteria; Burkholderiales; Alcaligenaceae
Description: partial 16S-23S ribosomal RNA intergenic spacer
Rfam family: Bacterial small subunit ribosomal RNA
Source: RNAcentral